CUGACGUAUAACACAUUGACGUUUGCUCGUCAUUUUCAUUCCUCAUUGGCAUCUUCGCGUGUAAAGACAGGUCUGGAAGCUUUUGCCAGCCACUAAUUAAUAUCACACAGACCAUUAUAAGAGGAAAUUCAGCUAAAAUUCUUCGACAGCCUUUGGCACUCUUUCGACCGCAUCACGACAAAGAUGGCUCAGCCCCUAAAGGAGCAAUUUGUUGCUCUUGUUGCAUGCAUCCUGCUGACACUACCAGGUGGCGACAUGUCAUCAACGAUGCAUAUGAUGCCAUCAGAGUCUGCAAGUGACAUGACAUCAAU
Molecule: long non-coding RNA, 311 nt
Organism: Pocillopora damicornis (cauliflower coral)
Lineage: Eukaryota; Metazoa; Cnidaria; Anthozoa; Scleractinia; Pocilloporidae
Source: RefSeq, a predicted model, not a curated record